GACGAAACGCUGGCGGCGUGCUUAACACAUGCAAGUCGAACGGAGUUACGUAUGAAGUAUUUCGGUACGGACUAUGUAACUUAGUGGCGAACGGGUGAGUAACACGUGGGCAACCUGCCCUUAACCGGGGGAUAACAUUGUGAAAACAGUGCUAAUACCGCAUAACAGAGUAUCGGGCAUCCGAUAUUUUUAAAAGGAGCAAUCCGGUUUAGGAUGGGCCCGCGUCCAAUUAGCUAGUUGGUGAGGUAACGGCUCACCAAGGCUACGAUUGGUAGCCGAACUGAGAGGUUGAUCGGCCACAUUGGGACUGAGACACGGCCCAGACUCCUACGGGAGGCAGCAGUGGGGAAUAUUGGGCAAUGGGCGAAAGCCUGACCCAGCGACGCCGCGUGAAGGAUGAAGGUCUUCGGAUUGUAAACUUCUUUGAUCAGGGAAGAAAGAAAUGACGGUACCUGAAGAACAAGCCACGGCUAACUACGUG
Molecule: ribosomal RNA, 481 nt
Filed under: uncultured bacterium
Lineage: Bacteria
Description: bacterial SSU rRNA
Rfam family: Bacterial small subunit ribosomal RNA
Source: RNAcentral